AUUGAACGCUGGCGGCAGGCUUAACACAUGCAAGUCGAGCGAGCGGCGUACGGGGGAGUAAUGUAUGGGGACUGCCCGAUAGAGGGGGAUAACGACGGGAAACGGUAGCUAAUACCGCAUACUAUCGGAGAACGCAUAUGGGAUUAGCGAGUAGGUGGGGGAAUGGCUCACCUAGGCGGCGAUCCCUAGCUGGUCUGAGAGGCUGAUAAGCCACACUGGGACUGAGACACGGCCCAGACUCCUACGGCGGCAGCAGUGGGGAAUAUUGCACAAUGGGCGCAAGCCUGAUGCAGCCAUGCCGCGUGUAUGAUGAAGGCCCUAGGGUUGUAAAGUACUUUCAGUCGGGAGGCGUUACCUGCAGAAGAAGCACCGGCUAACUCCGUGCCAGCAGCCGCGGUAAUUC
RNAcentral lists this ribosomal RNA (403 nucleotides) under uncultured bacterium. RNAcentral describes it as "partial 16S ribosomal RNA". It matches the Rfam family "Bacterial small subunit ribosomal RNA", at positions 30 to 526 of the family's 1533-position model. The record is from RNAcentral.